Molecule: ribosomal RNA, 571 nt
Filed under: Cryptococcus neoformans
Lineage: Eukaryota; Fungi; Basidiomycota; Tremellomycetes; Tremellales; Cryptococcaceae
Description: partial large subunit ribosomal RNA
Rfam family: Eukaryotic large subunit ribosomal RNA
Source: RNAcentral
GGUCGGAUCCUUAGUACGGCGAGUGACCGGGAGAGCUCAAUUUGAAUCUGGCGUCCUCCGGGCGUCCGAGUUGUAAUCUACAGAAACGUUUUCCGUGCUGUACCGUGUCUAAGUCCCUUGAAUAGGGUAUCAAGAGGGUGACAUCCGUACUUGACACGAUCACCAGUGCUCUGUGAUACGUUUUCUACGAGUCGCGUUACUUGGGGAGUGUAGCGCAAAAUGGGUGGGUAAACUCCAUCUAAAGCUAAAUAUUUGGUGGAAGACCGAUAGGCGAACAAGUACCGGUGAGGGAAAGAUGAAAGCACUUUUGAAAAGAGGGGUUAAACAGUACGGUGAAAUUGUUGAAAGGGAACGAUUUGAGUCAGGUCGUGGUCUAUUGGGGUCCAGGCCAGGUCGGCUGGGGAAUCCCCUAGGACGGGUCCACUUCAGGUUCGAUCGUGGUUAAGGCUGGGAAUGUGCCACUCUCGGAGAGUGGUAAGCCUCUGCGCAACACCGUGGACAGAGAUGCGCUCCUUAUGGCGGUUCCCCGGUCACUAUGAGUGUCCAAUGUUUAACACCGCUGAAAGACAAA